This 253-nucleotide ribosomal RNA is filed under the name uncultured bacterium. Its description in RNAcentral is "partial 16S ribosomal RNA". It matches the Rfam family "Bacterial small subunit ribosomal RNA", at positions 524 to 776 of the family's 1533-position model. The record is from RNAcentral.
UACGAAGGGGGCUAGCGUUGUUCGGAAUUACUGGGCGUAAAGCGCACGUAGGCUGUGCGAUAAGUCAGUGGUGAAAUCCCGGAGCUUAACUUCGGAACUGCCAUUGAAACUAUCGUGCUAGAAUCUCAGAGGGGGUAGCGGAAUUCCAAUUGUAGGGGUGAAAUCCGUAGAUAUUUGGAGGAACACCGGUGGCGAAGGCGGCUACCUGGAUGAGUAUUGACGCUGAGGUGCGAAAGCGUGGGGAUCAAACAGG